Long non-coding RNA from Thalassophryne amazonica, 258 nucleotides. RefSeq lists it as uncharacterized. The record is from RefSeq and is a predicted model, not a curated record. NCBI's taxonomy places the organism in Eukaryota, Metazoa, Chordata, Actinopteri, Batrachoidiformes, Batrachoididae. The transcript has 2 exons.
AUGCUGUCAUAAGUGGGUUUAUGAUCCAUUUUGGUUUGGUUUAGAACAUGCUUUUAACACCAAAUCAUAAAGGGACAGUCAUGUUUUCUUUCACCUUGUAACGGCUGUAGGCAGAGAAGAGAAAAGAGGCAGAGACAUCCCGUAUGCGUUCGUGUUGGAGGAGCAGAGCACGGAGAACUGCUCCACACACAUUACCAUAAUAAAGCAGCAAAAACCUUCCAAAAUUAGUAAUCAUUAUUCAAGUUUUACUGAGUCGAU